AGACAGCUGGGACCCGCGGGAUUUGAGGUGUGCGCUGGGAUCUUACGUGCGCAGAGGCCGGACCGCAGAGUCGAAAAAAUGUUUGAAUGGGAAUGGGAGAGGAGAGCAGAAAUGGGAAGGAAAAAGAAGAUUCCAGAGCAGUAACGUAACUAAACAUUCGCAGUCCACAAAUGACUGCAAAGCAAAUAACCAGAGUCCUGAUGAUUAACUGCCGUCAGUGGAACUGCCUGUUUUUCCUCAAGUGGAUCUUU
RNAcentral lists this long non-coding RNA (251 nucleotides) under Pongo abelii (Sumatran orangutan). RNAcentral describes it as "lincRNA". Lineage: Eukaryota; Metazoa; Chordata; Mammalia; Primates; Hominidae. The record is from RNAcentral.